Molecule: non-coding RNA, 270 nt
Organism: Vicia faba (fava bean)
Lineage: Eukaryota; Viridiplantae; Streptophyta; Magnoliopsida; Fabales; Fabaceae
Source: the annotation of a GenBank genome assembly
AUGGCUGCUGGUGUUGAAGACCAGAGGGUGGUUGUUGGUAUUGAGCAUCUACUGCAUAUGAAUAUUGAUGAUAAGGCACAUGAGACGGAGUUUCUGGAGCUUGAUGUGAUGACAACGACUAGCUUAGGUGGAGGGCGCCGAUUUCGUGAUGGUUUGAAAUGUGGAAACAAGGGCUGCAUCGGGGGACAGAUGAUCCAUGACGGUGUGACUGAAUCUCAAUCGGAGCAAGGUUGUCAAGCGGGUUCAUUGUCAGAGGUAGGUUGGCAAUGA